RNAcentral lists this ribosomal RNA (473 nucleotides) under uncultured bacterium. RNAcentral's name for it is "bacterial SSU rRNA". It matches the Rfam family "Bacterial small subunit ribosomal RNA", at positions 328 to 793 of the family's 1533-position model. The record is from RNAcentral.
GCUGAGCACUCCUACGGGAGGCAGCAGUGGGGAAUAUUGCACAAUGGGGCGCAAGCCUGAUGCAGCCAUGCCGCGUGUAUGAAGAAGGCCUUCGGGUUGUAAAGUACUUUCAGCAGUGAGGAAGGUGGGUAUGUUAAUAGCAUAUUCAUUUGACGUUAGCUGCAGAAGAAGCACCGGCUAACUCCGUGCCAGCAGCCGCGGUAAUACGGAGGGUGCGAGCGUUAAUCGGAAUUACUGGGCGUAAAGCGCAUGCAGGUGGUUUGUUAAGUCAGAUGUGAAAGCCCGGGGCUCAACCUCGGAAUUGCAUUUGAAACUGGCAAACUAGAGUACUGUAGAGGGGGUAGAAUUUCAGGUGUAGCGGUGAAAUGCGUAGAGAUCUGAAGGAAUACCGGUGGCGAAGGCGGCCCCCUGGACAGAUACUGACACUCAGAUGCGAAAGCGUGGGGAGCAAACAGGAUUAGAUACCCUGGUAG